AAAGGUUUAGUAUAUGGGGGUAUAAUUUAUUGUCGAUAAUUAGGUUAAUGCCUUUAG
Molecule: transfer RNA, 57 nt
Filed under: Angiostrongylus vasorum (French heartworm)
Lineage: Eukaryota; Metazoa; Nematoda; Chromadorea; Rhabditida; Metastrongylidae
Description: tRNA-Asp
Source: RNAcentral